This 447-nucleotide ribosomal RNA is filed under the name uncultured bacterium. RNAcentral's name for it is "bacterial SSU rRNA". It matches the Rfam family "Bacterial small subunit ribosomal RNA", at positions 355 to 825 of the family's 1533-position model. The record is from RNAcentral.
UGGGGAAUAUUGGACAAUGGGCGAAAGCCUGAUCCAGCCAUGCCGCGUGAGUGACGAAGGCCUUAGGGUUGUAAAACUCUUUCGUCGGGGACGAUAAUGACGGUACCCGAAGAAGAAGCUCCGGCUAACUUCGUGCCAGCAGCCGCGGUAAUACGAAGGGAGCUAGCGUUGUUCGGAAUCACUGGGCGUAAAGCGCACGUAGGCGGAUAGUUAAGUCAGGGGUGAAAUCCUGGGGCUCAACCCCAGAACUGCCUUUGAUACUGGCUGUCUCGAGGUCGAGAGAGGUUGGUGGAAUUCCUAGUGUAGAGGUGAAAUUCGUAGAUAUUAGGAAGAACACCAGUGGCGAAGGCGGCCAACUGGCUCGAUACUGACGCUGAGGUGCGAAAGCGUGGGGAGCAAACAGGAUUAGAUACCCUUGUAGUCCCUGAGCGGGCUGGCAAGGCGCAU